UGGAAGUAAAAGUCGUAACAAGGUCUCCGUUGGUGAACCAGCGGAGGGAUCAUUACCGAGUUUACAACUCCCAAACCCCUGUGAACAUACCUAUACGUUGCCUCGGCGGAUCAGCCCGCGCCCCGUAAAACGGGACGGCCCGCCCGAGGACCCUAAACUCUGUUUUUAGUGGAACUUCUGAGUAAAACAAACAAAUAAAUCAAAACUUUCAACAACGGAUCUCUUGGUUCUGGCAUCGAUGAAGAACGCAGCAAAAUGCGAUAAGUAAUGUGAAUUGCAGAAUUCAGUGAAUCAUCGAAUCUUUGAACGCACAUUGCGCCCGCCAGUAUUCUGGCGGGCAUGCCUGUUCGAGCGUCAUUUCAACCCUCAAGCUCAGCUUGGUGUUGGGACUCGCGGUAACCCGCGUUCCCCAAAUCGAUUGGCGGUCACGUCGAGCUUCCAUAGCGUAGUAAUCAUACACCUCGUUACUGGUAAUCGUCGCGGCCACGCCGUAAAACCCCAACUUCUGAAUGUUGACCUCGGAUCAGGUAGGAAUACCCGCUGAACUUAAGCAUAUCAAUAAGCGGAGGAA
RNAcentral lists this ribosomal RNA (571 nucleotides) under Fusarium sp. AP1-5-2. Its description in RNAcentral is "eukaryotic LSU rRNA". The stretch from base 204 to 357 matches the Rfam family "5.8S ribosomal RNA". The record is from RNAcentral. Lineage: Eukaryota; Fungi; Ascomycota; Sordariomycetes; Hypocreales; Nectriaceae.